AGUGAACGCUGGCGGUAGGCCUAACACAUGCAAGUCGAACGGCAGCACAGGAGAGCUUGCUCUCUGGGUGGCGAGUGGCGGACGGGUGAGGAAUACAUCGGAAUCUACUCUGUCGUGGGGGAUAACGUAGGGAAACUUACGCUAAUACCGCAUACGACCUACGGGUGAAAGCAGGGGACCUUCGGGCCUUGCGCGAUUGAAUGAGCCGAUGUAGGAUUGGCUAGUGGGCGGGGUAAAGGCCCACCAAGGCGACGAUCCGUAGCUGGUCUGAGAGGAUGAUCAGCCACACUGGAACUGAGACACGGCCCAAACUCCUACGGGAGUCAGCAGUGGGGAAUAUUGGACAAUGGGCGCAAGCCUGAUCCAGCCAUACCGCGUGGGUGAAGAAGGCCUUCGGGUUGUAAAGCCCUUUUGUUGGGAAAGAAAUCCAGCUGGCUAAUACCCGGUUGGGAUGACGGUACCCAAAGAAUAAGCACCGGCUAACUUCGUGCCAGCCGCCGCGGUAA
This 506-nucleotide ribosomal RNA is filed under the name uncultured bacterium. RNAcentral describes it as "partial 16S ribosomal RNA". It matches the Rfam family "Bacterial small subunit ribosomal RNA", at positions 29 to 523 of the family's 1533-position model. The record is from RNAcentral.